UACGGGGGGGGUAAGCGUUGUUCGGAAUUACUGGGCGUAAAGGGCUCGUAGGCGGCCAACUAAGUCGGACGUGAAAUCCCUCAGCUUAACUGGGGAACUGCGUCCGAUACUGGAUGGCUUGGAUUUGGGAGAGGGAUGCGGAAUUCCAGGUGUAGCGGUGAAAUGCGUAGAUAUCUGGAGGAAUACCGGUGGCGAAGGCGGCAUCCUGGACCGACAUUGACGCUGAGGAGCGAAAGCUAGGGGAGCAAACGGG
Molecule: ribosomal RNA, 253 nt
Filed under: uncultured bacterium
Lineage: Bacteria
Description: partial 16S ribosomal RNA
Rfam family: Bacterial small subunit ribosomal RNA
Source: RNAcentral